This 445-nucleotide ribosomal RNA is filed under the name uncultured bacterium. RNAcentral's name for it is "partial 16S ribosomal RNA". It matches the Rfam family "Bacterial small subunit ribosomal RNA", at positions 354 to 796 of the family's 1533-position model. The record is from RNAcentral.
GUGAGGAAUAUUGCGCAAUGGAGGCAACUCUGACGCAGCCAUGCCGCGUGCAGGAAGAAGGCGCUACGCGUUGUAAACUGCUUUUAACCGGGAAGAAACCCCAGGACGUGUCCUGGGUUGACGGUACCGGAGGAAUAAGCACCGGCUAACUUCGUACCAGCAGCCGCGGUAAUACGAAGGGUGCAAGCGUUACCCGGAUUCAUUGGGUUUACAGGGUGCGUAGGCGGAGCGUUAAGUCAGUGGUGAAAUCCUGCGGCUUAACUGUAGACUUGCCAUUGAUACUGUCGCUCUUGAGUGCGCUUGAAGUGGGCGGAAUGUGCCGUGUAGCGGUGAAAUGCUUAGAUAUGGCACAGAACACCAAUUGCGAAGGCAGCUCACUAAGGCGAUACUGACGCUGAGGCACGAAAGCGUGGGGAUCGAACAGGAUUAGAAACCCCUGUAGUCC